UCCAUCAGUGCAUAUCUAAUUCUAGAUACAUGUAGUUACAGCUUAGAAAUUGGAAUAGAAAAACUCACAUAUAAGAAGUCUCUACUGGAUUUUGACUUCGAUCAAAAACAAAGAUUUAGUCUGUUGAAUGUCAUACAAAUAGAUUAUUCCAUAGAUGACAUGAAGUCACAAGACGUAUAUUUAAUCAACUUGGACAUGAGCGUAUGUUUUGAAUCGCACAGCAGCUGUGAAUUUACCAUUAGUAUAUUCAAGAAUAUGUAUUU
Long non-coding RNA from Mytilus californianus (California mussel), 263 nucleotides. RefSeq lists it as uncharacterized. The record is from RefSeq and is a predicted model, not a curated record. The transcript is spliced from 2 exons. Lineage: Eukaryota; Metazoa; Mollusca; Bivalvia; Mytilida; Mytilidae.